RNAcentral lists this ribosomal RNA (253 nucleotides) under uncultured bacterium. Its description in RNAcentral is "partial 16S ribosomal RNA". It matches the Rfam family "Bacterial small subunit ribosomal RNA", at positions 524 to 776 of the family's 1533-position model. The record is from RNAcentral.
UACGGAGGAUGCAAGCGUUAUCCGGAAUGAUUGGGCGUAAAGCGUCCGCAGGUGGCUAUGUAAGUCUGCUGUUAAAGAGUGAGGCUCAACCUCAUAAGAGCAGUGGAAACUACAUGGCUAGAGUGCGUUCGGGGCAGAGGGAAUUCCUGGUGUAGCGGUGAAAUGCGUAGAGAUCAGGAAGAACACCGGUGGCGAAGGCGGCGACCUGGGUCGAUACUGACGCUGAGGUGCGAAGGCGUGGGGAGCAAACAGG